AUUGAACGCUAGCGGGAUGCUUAACACAUGCAAGUCGCACGAGUGGCGGACGGGUGAGAAAUGUCUCGGAACGUGCCCAGAAGCGGGGGAUAACUACUCAAAAGAAUGGCUAAUAAAGCAUAAGAUGGGAGCGGCACAUAUCGGAUUAGCUAGUUGUUGGGGUAAAGGCUCACCAAGGCACAGAACCGUAGAUGGUGUGAGAGGACGACCAGCCAAACUGGGACUGCACCACUGCCCAGACUCCUACGUGAGGCAGCAGUGGGGAAUGUUGGCCAAUGGGGGAAACCCUGAUCCAGCCAUCCCGCGUGUAUGAGAAGGCCUUCGGGUUGUAAAGUACUUUUGGCAGGGAAGCGGUAUCUGCAGAAUAAGCACCGGCUAACUCCGUGCCAGCAGCCGCGGUAAUAC
Molecule: ribosomal RNA, 405 nt
Filed under: uncultured bacterium
Lineage: Bacteria
Description: partial 16S ribosomal RNA
Rfam family: Bacterial small subunit ribosomal RNA
Source: RNAcentral